GAUGAACGCUGGCGGCGUGCCUAAUACAUGCAAGUCGAGCGAACAGACGAGGAGCUUGCUCCUCUGACGUUAGCGGCGGACGGGUGAGUAACACGUGGAUAACCUACCUAUAAGACUGGGAUAACUUCGGGAAACCGGAGCUACUACCGGAUAAUAUAUUGAACCGCAUGGUUCAAUAGUGAAAGACGGUUUUGCUGUCACUUAUAGAUGGAUCCGCGCCGCAUUAGCUAGUUGGUAAGGUAACGGCUUACCAACGCAACGAUGCAUAGCCGACCUGAGAGGGUGAUCGGCCAGCCUGGAACUGAGGCACGGUACAGACUCCUACGGGAGGACGCAGUAGGGAAUCUUCCGCGAGGGGGGAGAGCCUGACGGAGCAACGCCGCGUGAGUGAUGAAGGUCUUCGGAUCGUAAAACGCUGUUAUUAGGGAAGAACAAAUGUGUAAGUAACUAUGCACAUCUUGACGGUACCUAAUCAGAAAGCCACGGCUAACUACGUG
RNAcentral lists this ribosomal RNA (497 nucleotides) under uncultured bacterium. RNAcentral's name for it is "partial 16S ribosomal RNA". It matches the Rfam family "Bacterial small subunit ribosomal RNA", at positions 28 to 507 of the family's 1533-position model. The record is from RNAcentral.